Molecule: long non-coding RNA, 217 nt
Filed under: Cavia porcellus (domestic guinea pig)
Lineage: Eukaryota; Metazoa; Chordata; Mammalia; Rodentia; Caviidae
Description: lncRNA (ENSCPOG00000032958.1)
Source: RNAcentral
CACAAGGCUGCAUCUCCGAGGAUGGAGUCCAGAUUCUCUAGUCUGGUGGCUGAGCCUGCCUCCUUGGAGGGCUAUUUGAAAAAAAGUUACAGCUUCUAGUGAUAGGAGGAAAAUUGCCUCGUGGUUGAAAACACUACACACCAUGAAUGACGUCAGUCUACGCAAAAAUGAGCCAAGUUUCUCCUCACAGCCUCGGCAGAACUGGAGGACUUAAAAG